This 497-nucleotide ribosomal RNA is filed under the name uncultured bacterium. Its description in RNAcentral is "partial 16S ribosomal RNA". It matches the Rfam family "Bacterial small subunit ribosomal RNA", at positions 28 to 507 of the family's 1533-position model. The record is from RNAcentral.
GAUGAACGCUGGCGGCGUGCCUAAUACAUGCAAGUCGAGCGAACGGACGAGAAGCUUGCUUCGCUGAUGUUAGCGGCGGACGGGUGAGUAACACGUGUAUAACCUACCUAUAAGACUGGGAUAACUUCGGGAAACCGGAGCUAAUACCGGAUAAUAUUUUGAACCGCAUGGUUCAAAAGUGAAAGACGGUCUUGCUGUCACUUAUAGAUGGAUCCGCGCUGCAUUAGCUAGUUGGUAAGGUAACGGCUUACCAAGGCAACGAUGCAUAGCCGACCUGAGAGGGGGGUCGGCGACCCGGGAACUGGGACACGGUCCAGACUACUACGGGAGGCAGCAGUAGGGAAUCGUCCGCAAUGGGCGAAAGCCUGACGGAGCAACGCCGCGUGAGUGAUGAAGGUCUUCGGAUCGUAAAACUCUGUUAUUAGGGAAGAACAUAUGUGUAAGUAACUGUGCACAGCUUGACGGUACCUAAUCAGAAAGCCACGGCUAACUACGUG